UUGUAGAGCACUCCGUUGGAUGAUACCUCUCUUAACAACACAAGCAGCUCUGCUCCCCGUGUUUCCUUCAUUGCAUGUGCCUCCGUUUUGUAUUUUCAAGGCUGGGAGAGGCUAUCCUACCUAAGGUCUUAGAAAUGCUUUCCAGUGUCAGAUCAAAUUAGUGUUUCCUAUGACUGAAGCCACUGAAACUUUGUGUGAUGAGGAGGAACGUCACGAGAGCAUGGAAGAAAAUUGCCUGCUGAUGACAAUUUAUGAUGACGUAUGGUGUUAUCUCCUGGAGCUGCCUCCUUUUCCAGCACUUCUGCGAGUAUGCUUUCGGUCAUGCCUUACACUACACCUGCCCAUGGUCCUGGAGUGCCCGACGGCUCACCAGAGCCGCAGCUCUCCAUGUGGCAGGAGAAAUGGCUGCGCCGUUGCACCUUCAACUAGAGCAGCCGGCUCAGCUGUCUCAGCCUUUGAAAGCGAAACAAGGAUAAAAGAACACCAAAGAGAAACAGCGGCGCUCCAUGCCACAAAAGCCCAGAGCCUCGCGCUGAGCAAGUCGCCCUCAAAUCACCCGCGGCGUGGAAGCGCGUCGUGCCCCGCUCACGUGGGACGGGGCGAUGGAGAUCCAAAUGGGAACGGACGCUCGGGUAAGCGAGUGCUUCGAGCCCGGUCUGGUUCAUGUCUGAUGCAACAGGCGCUGGGGAGGCCAAGGAGAGGGAUUUCUGUUCCACGAAGUGUUCCCGGUGCUGGGUGGGAUGCAAAUCCCUCCGGCUUGCAGCUAGCAGCAGAGAGUGAGUUCCUUGGUCCCUGGCAAAAUUAUUUAUUUGUUGCUGUCGUAUGCUGCUUAAAUACUUGCUUUCUGACAACAGUUUUCCUUCUCCAUUAG
This 871-nucleotide long non-coding RNA is filed under the name Struthio camelus australis. RNAcentral's name for it is "lncRNA (ENSSCUG00000014027.1)". Lineage: Eukaryota; Metazoa; Chordata; Aves; Struthioniformes; Struthionidae. The record is from RNAcentral.